Molecule: ribosomal RNA, 549 nt
Filed under: uncultured Glomeromycotina
Lineage: Eukaryota; Fungi; Glomeromycota
Description: SSU rRNA
Rfam family: Eukaryotic small subunit ribosomal RNA
Source: RNAcentral
UUGGAGGGCAAGUCUGGUGCCCGCAGCCGCGGUAAUUCCAGCUCCAAUAGCGUAUAUUAAAGUUGUUGCAGUUAAAAAGCUCGUAGUUGAAUUUCGGGGUUAGUAGGUUGGUCAUGCCUCUGGUAUGUACUGGUCUCACUGAUUCCUCCUUCCUGAUGAACCGUAAUGCCAUUAAUUUGGUGUUGCGGGGAAUUUGGACUGUUACUUUGAAAAAAUUAGAGUGUUUAAAGCAAGCUAACGCUUGAAUACAUUAGCAUGGAAUAAUGAAAUAGGACGUUCGAUCCUAUUUUGUUGGUUUCUAGGAUUGACGUAAUGAUUAAUAGGGAUAGUUGGGGGCAUUAGUAUUCAAUUGUCAGAGGUGAAAUUCUUGGAUUUAUUGAAGACUAACUACUGCGAAAGCAUUUGCCAAGGAUGUUUUCAUUAAUCAAGAACGAAAGUUAGGGGAUCGAAGACGAUCAGAUACCGUCGUAGUCUUAACCAUAAACUAUGCCGACUAGGGAUCGGAUGAUGUUAAUUUUUUAAUGACUCAUUCGGCGCCUUACGGGAAAC